GGAGGCGGUCGCGACUGGCGAGGGUGGGCAACCACCGGGGAGCGGCCACGGAUCAUGAACAGGUCAUGAAUGAGGGACGUCGCCCGCCUGGGCGUCCCCG
RNAcentral lists this non-coding RNA (100 nucleotides) under Actinomyces sp. RNAcentral's name for it is "ZTP sequence". It matches the Rfam family "ZMP/ZTP riboswitch aptamer (pfl RNA motif)". Rfam says of the family: Previously known as pfl RNA. Lineage: Bacteria; Bacillati; Actinomycetota; Actinomycetes; Actinomycetales; Actinomycetaceae. The record is from RNAcentral. RNAcentral also lists the same sequence under 1 other name.